GCUGGGCACAGGGGUGCAUGCCUGUAAUCCCAGAGGCUUGGGAGGCUGAGGCAGGAGGAUCACGAGUUCAAAGCCAGCUUCAGCAAAAGCGGGGAGUUAAGCAACUCAGUGAGACCCUAUCUCUA
RNAcentral lists this small RNA (125 nucleotides) under Marmota monax (woodchuck). Lineage: Eukaryota; Metazoa; Chordata; Mammalia; Rodentia; Sciuridae. The record is from RNAcentral.